CCCUUAGAUGUUCUGGGCCGCACGCGUGCUACACUGAGUGGAUCAGCGGGUCAGGUUGCGCGAAAGCGUUUCCUAAUCUUUAAAUCCGCUCGUGAUGGGGAUUGACUGUUGCAAUUUUCUGUCAUGAACGAGGAAUACCUUGUAAGCGCGGGUCAUCAUCCCGCGCUGAAUACGUCCCUGCCCUUUGUACACACCGCCCGUCGCUCCUACCGGUUGAGUGGUCCGGUGAGGCUUUGGGAUCUGAGCGGAAAGAGCGUUUCGCUGUUUCUGCUCGGAAAACUCAGUCGAACCUUAUCAUUUAGAGGAAGGAGAAGUCGUAACA
RNAcentral lists this ribosomal RNA (322 nucleotides) under uncultured eukaryote. RNAcentral describes it as "partial 18S ribosomal RNA". It matches the Rfam family "Eukaryotic small subunit ribosomal RNA", at positions 1470 to 1796 of the family's 1831-position model. The record is from RNAcentral.